RNAcentral lists this transfer RNA (73 nucleotides) under Methyloceanibacter superfactus. It matches the Rfam family "tRNA". From Rfam's summary of the family: Transfer RNA (tRNA) molecules are approximately 80 nucleotides in length. RNAcentral also lists the same sequence under 1 other name. The record is from Rfam by way of RNAcentral. Lineage: Bacteria; Pseudomonadati; Pseudomonadota; Alphaproteobacteria; Hyphomicrobiales; Hyphomicrobiaceae.
GCCCCGUUCGUCUAGUGGCCUAGGACGCUGGCCUCUCACGCCGGAAACAGGGGUUCGAAACCCCUACGGGGCG